Molecule: long non-coding RNA, 538 nt
Filed under: Papio anubis (olive baboon)
Lineage: Eukaryota; Metazoa; Chordata; Mammalia; Primates; Cercopithecidae
Description: lncRNA (ENSPANG00000041721.1)
Source: RNAcentral
CUCUCCCUCGACGGUGACGCCAUGCAAAGGUGGAGAGCCAUUCAUGAAACCCUGUGAUUGUGUCUGUUAGGCAGGAGAGAACUUAUAUUUUUCCUAUUCCUAUAUCCCUGGUUUCUGGAAGUUUCCCGAUAGUGAGAAAUUAGAGGGGAUUAAUUUAUCUUUUCUCUACUCCAUCUGAGUGAGCCCUGGAGUGAAUACAGAGCCUUAACCAUGGAAAGGUGAGACGGGGAGAGGCCCCCGCCGCAGGAGUCAGUAGAUGAGGAUUCUCAUCCUGCCACCCACGGUGUGAUUUUAGCUGCCCAGAGAGGCACACCCAGCUGGACACAUGCUUCUCUGCUUAGUCACCAGUGGCCAUACCCUAGCCUGGCACAGCUGGAGCCUCCAGGAGCCCAAACAGGGAAAACUCAUCUGCAGACCGCACCAGCUUCACAGGCAGUAACUCGGGAGCUAAGGACUUGGCAAAAACAGGCACCGUACCCUAGAUAGUAUCGUGCUGAACAGACGCUGCCCCCUGCCCUGUCUGCUGAGCUCUUCCUCC